RNAcentral lists this small RNA (29 nucleotides) under Bombyx mori (domestic silkworm). RNAcentral describes it as "ovarian small RNA-35045". The record is from RNAcentral. Lineage: Eukaryota; Metazoa; Arthropoda; Insecta; Lepidoptera; Bombycidae.
UGGGGUGCGGUUUGUGUUCCCGACCUCGU